Chinchilla lanigera (long-tailed chinchilla) is the source of this 1216-nucleotide long non-coding RNA. Ensembl lists it as uncharacterized. The record is from Ensembl. Lineage: Eukaryota; Metazoa; Chordata; Mammalia; Rodentia; Chinchillidae.
AUCUAAACUACAGCACAGGGCAGGAAUAGAGCCUGCCUUACACACUCGCCAAGAGGGGUUAGGAGUGUCUUGUUUUCUCCCCAUGAAAAAGCUCUUCUUAAAAUUAUUAUACCUUGCAGAAAAAGAAGGAAAAAGACAUGAAAUUCCUGCAUCAUUAUGAUGGUAGCCCUGUGUAACUAUGAAGGAAUAACUCAAAAAUUCGUGGUGGAGAGGCCCAUGUAUUUCUGCUUUCUCUCCAGAGGACAGGAUGGACUGUGUGGCAACACAUUGUCAGUCAUCAAAAAGAUCACAGGCUGGGCAAAGCAAUAUUAUCAGCAACAUCACUAUGGACAAUCAAGACAUAGACCCCAGUCAUCCAUUUGACUCACGUCCUGCGCAGAAUACCAUGAUUAAACACUUGUGUAUUUUAGGGGUGUUCCAAAUGAUGGAUGGUAUGGUGCUGACUGUGCUGUGGGCAGUAGUUAUUGCCAAUUCAUCUCGCUACAAACUUUCUAUCAUACAAAUACAUCCGAUACUGCCCUACCUAUAUCUUUUGGUACCACUCAUUUAUGUCACAGCAGGAAUUCUGAACAUUGUGGCUGCAAAUAGACAGAAUCCCAAAUUGAUUACGGCCUUUAGAGUGUUCAAAUUUGUUACGUUUCAGGCUUCCCUGAUAUUCUCCAUAAUGCAUGGUGUAGAUACAUUUGAAGUUGCAGGGAGAAGGGGUGUAUUUCCUGUAGAUGUCCUAUCUUUUUUCCUCUCGUGGUUUCAGUUGAUCUUCCUGCUUUCCUGUUUGGCUCCCUCUAUCGCACGGAUAAAAACCAUGUGCUGGCAGAUGAUCUACUUAUGGUGAAUUGAGGUUGAACUCUCCCUUCCUGCACAAGACCAAGACUGACAUGUAUGGCAGUCCCACUCCAUGAAGUGAUUUGAGAGAGUGCCUUCAUGUGCUUUUCUUGGUCUUUUUUGCCAUUGCAUCAUCCAGGAAAUUCUUAUUUACAUAAUAAAUAGGAGCUGAAGUCUUCUAAGGAAAAUAACUGUCACUGAAUUGCUGAUAUUGACUUUUCUAUGGUUUGUACUCUAACCCCAAUGUGAAUACCUUUGAGGAUGGGUACAGAACUGAUGUGGGUACAUACCCUUGUUACCUAAACCAGAAACAUAUCCAGAAGGCUGUCAGUAUUGCAACCUGAUUUCUGAAAAUACUCAGACUAUAUCCUUACAUCCCAUGGCUCAUUGUGGU